Molecule: long non-coding RNA, 1075 nt
Organism: Clarias gariepinus (North African catfish)
Lineage: Eukaryota; Metazoa; Chordata; Actinopteri; Siluriformes; Clariidae
Exons: 3
Source: RefSeq, a predicted model, not a curated record
GCUAGCCAAUCCGUUUUGCCGGUGGGCUGUUAUAAAGGUAGCGGAAGAGCCUUUCAUGUAGCGCGCCCGCCUCUUUUUGGUUGUGUACCUGACUUCCGGUCUUGCCACAGGUAGGAAUGCUCCUCGCAGUCGCUUAGCUAUGCUUUCGGGCAGUGGAACUUACUUAAAUGUUUUCCUUAGGUUUCCUCUGGACUCAUUAACCGUGAGGUAUUUCCCUAUCAGCUCUGUAGAGUGUGCGCGCUGUUUUAUGGUGCGUCUGACUUUCGCUUUCAUAUAAGGUAUGACUGCUUCUUGCGAUCUCUCUUUUAUGCUUCGGGACAGAGGCACUUAUUUAGAUCUGUUUGUAGAUUCAUUUUGGCUUCUUCUACAGUGAUGUCCUUUUCUGUGGACUCUCCUGUGUGUAGUGUGCGCAUCGUUUCGUUGCGCGUCUGAUUUCCGCUUCCGUUUCAGUUUUUACCUAGACGGUUGGGUUCUUUUGUUUAUAACAUUGCCUGACUGGAGUCGGUAAGUGGCUCGUUUCCUGUACUUCCUGGUUGUACUGGGAUGGCUAGGGGUUGGUCAUUCAGCAUCCGGGAACAGAGUUGUGAGUUGAAGGUGGUGGCAGUGUGACGCGUUGGGGUUUGUUUCCCCUCUUCGUGUGCGUGUUGGUCACUCCUCUGUGUCGAUUGUCACAGUGACUUGUGUGUGGGUGUGAUUCACGUGUGUUUGGGGUGAUUCUGGCCUGGACUUUCAUCCCUUCUUUGUCGUUUAUAGUCUGCCAUCCACCGGUAAGCUCCAGCUCUAGCUUGAAAGUACAUUUUAACUCUUACCUUUCUUAGCUUUGCAUAUUCCUGAUGUUGCUAAAUUACAACUAGUUUUAUUAUUGUUGAACUGUGGAAUUGUAUAUGAUUGUGAGCAAAUAAACAUUUAUGUACGAAAACCACGCUCUUUGCAUUUUCAGUGAACGUACCUGGGUGCCUUAGUUAAUUAAAUAAUUAGGGUUGUUUAUUUCCUUGGGUGCAAUUCCCAAGGUGGCGUAAUUGGCUACAGUAAUUAACAGUAGGGGAGCGGCGGAAGGUGAGAUAGCGCCCCCUAG